AUUUGAUAUUCUGGAUGGGAUCUUGGAAAAUGAAAAGUCUACUCAUGAGAAAAACAUGAGACAAAUCCCGAUUCAGAGACAUUCUACAAAAAUACCCGACCAGUACUCCUCAAAACCAUCGAGGUCAUCAGAAACAAGGAAUGCCUGAGAAACUGGCACAGCCAAGAAGAACGCGGGGUCUUAAGGAAUCUCCAUCAAGCCUUCUUUGAUGAUUACCAAGUUAUUUGUUUCUGGAUUCCAAUAGAGGAAAAGAAAAAAAUUACCACAACCCAACCUUCCCCUCCUUAAUUCAGUUGACUGAAUAUUUUCCAACUUAACUGUGAAUUUUUUAAAAAGGGA
RNAcentral lists this long non-coding RNA (339 nucleotides) under Equus asinus (donkey). RNAcentral describes it as "lncRNA (ENSEASG00005025863.1)". The record is from RNAcentral. Lineage: Eukaryota; Metazoa; Chordata; Mammalia; Perissodactyla; Equidae.